Molecule: ribosomal RNA, 446 nt
Filed under: uncultured bacterium
Lineage: Bacteria
Description: partial 16S ribosomal RNA
Rfam family: Bacterial small subunit ribosomal RNA
Source: RNAcentral
CCUACGGGGGGCAGCAGUCGAGAAUCAUUCACAAUGGGGGAAACCCUGAUGGUGCGACGCCGCGUGGGGGAAUGAAGGUCUUCGGAUUGUAAACCCCUGUCAUGUGGGAGCAAAUUAAAAAGAUAGUACCACAAGAGGAAGAGACGGCUAACUCUGUGCCAGCAGCCGCGGGAAUACAGAGGUCUCAAGCGUUGUUCGGAAUAACUGGGCGUAAAGCGUGCGUAGGCUGUUUCGUAAGUCGUGUGUGAAAGGCGCGGGCUCAACCAGCGGACGGCACAUGAUACUGCGAGACUAGAGUAAUGGAGGGGGAACCGGAAUUCUCGGUGUAGCAGUGAAAUGCGUAGAUAUCGAGAGGAACACUCGUGGCGAAGGCGGGUUCCUGGACAUUAACUGACGCUGAGGCACGAAGGCCAGGGGAGCGAAAGGGAUUAGAUACCCUAGUAGUC